This 3290-nucleotide long non-coding RNA is filed under the name Pan troglodytes (chimpanzee). Its description in RNAcentral is "long non-coding RNA NONPTRT003371". The record is from RNAcentral. Lineage: Eukaryota; Metazoa; Chordata; Mammalia; Primates; Hominidae.
AUCAAAGUAUCAAAGCAACACUUCUUUUUAUAGUCAACAUGACAGACUAACCAAGACAAAGUGGUCUCUGUGUGCUAAGCACUGUGCUUAUGCACUGAAUCAUCAUUUCAUCCUCAGAACUACCCUUUAUCAGGUCAAAUGAAAAGCCAAUCACAGAAGACAUUUUCCUGCCCUCACCUGUAAGCUUCAUCUAAAGACAUGUCCAUCCUCUUCAUGAUGUAGGCGAUAGCGAUGGUGGCGGAGCGGGAGAUCCCAGCUAAACAGUGCACUAGGACACAUCCAUUGGAGGCUUUUGCUUUCUCUGUAUAAGUCAAAUGCAAGAAAGGUCACUACUAACUAUUUUGUUCAGCAGUGAAAUCUUGUUUCCAUUUACUUACUCAGUAUCUUCCACCUGAAAACCUCUACGCAAAUCUCAUCUGUGUAUAUCAUAUUUAUCCUCGCAAUAUUCUUUUGAGGAGGCAGGGGAAGAUAAUUCCCUCACCAUUGACAUGCAGGACAACUGGGGUCCAAAACUGUUUGUUAAUAACCAAUUCGUUAAUAAGCAAGCUACUACUAACUCAGGUUUCCUGACUUAUGUUAGUAUUUUCCCCUAAGAUAUGGGUAAUAUUUAAUAUAUUCCUGUUAUCUGACACUUCAAAUUUUUCCCUGAUUACCUAAGAAAUAUAAUUACAUUUUUUAAAAUUAUUAUUACUAUUUCGAGAUAGAGUCUUGCUCUGUCGCCCAGGCUGGAGUGCACGAUGUCGGCUCAUUGCAAUCUCCGCCUCCCGGAUUCAAGUGAUUCUCCUGCCUUAGCCUCCAGAGUAGCUGGGAUUACAGGUGUGCAGCACCAUGCCUGGCUAAUUUUUCUAUUUUUAGUGGAGUCGUCGUUUCACCAUGUUGGGCAGGCUGGUCUCUAACUCCUGGCCUCAAGUGAUCCAUCCACCUCAGCCUCCCAAAGUGCUGGGAUUACAGGAGUGAGCCACUGCCCCUGGCCUCCCUAUUUUAAGCAACUUUUCUGUAUGUCAUAAAAUGGCUUAACUUUAUUUACUGAGUUUUAGAAGAAAACCUUGUAUAGGCUAUGAAUCAGGUUUAGCAGGUCACUUUAAUGAGAUCCAAGAUAACUUUUAUCCCUUCCUUGAUACCAGGAGUUAUUGUCUUAUGGCAUUAUCUCAAUUCCCCACAACAUGAUGGAAGGACUCACGGACACUUUGUUAGAACCAAAGAACCAGGGAAAUCCAAGCAGUGCUGCCAUCUCUCACUGCUGAGGGGCUUAACAAUAUGUACAUGUGGCAGGGGACGAGGUUAUUCCACACAGCCUGGAAGCUACUAACAUUCUGGCCAGUUCCAUGACUGCCUCAAUUCUAAAUAAUUACAUGUGUGCUCAGUCAUGAAGCUGAAUUCUCCCCUUUUCAUUCUUGGUAGAUACUACCAAAAGUCUACUGAACCUUGUGUUAAAAUUCUUGCGAUUAACAGAUGCGCAAAGAAUCUUACUUUGGCAGCUGAAUAAUACAAAGCUAUUCAAUCUCACUGCCUAUGCUAUAAAUAUAAGUUUCUAGUGUAAUGAUUAUUAUAUAUAACAUAAUUAUUCAUCAUAUAUAAAGCAACAUACAGGUUUUGGGUAGUAUAUGAAUAAUUAAGCAGCAAGCAGCUUCCCUUCUAGAUCGGGAAACCAAACACAAUAAAACAAUAACAAAUGAAUACCAAGCAACACUCAAACAAAGAAUUGCAUGCUAUACAAGUAAGAACAUAUAAACUCGUGUACACAGUCUCAUGCCUUCCUGUGCCUCCAGCGUCCCCUUCCUUCUCAGCUAUCAUUUACCCCACGUUACUCUCAGUGUUUCCUUCCCUUUCUGCCCUGCUGCUAAGAAGCUCAAAGCUAAGGUUUCUACUCAAUUUCAAUAAGUAGCAAUUCAGACUUUUUGUCAGUUACUGUAUAUUUCCUAGCCCCUAUUACUUGAUUAUUGCUCCUUUAUACCAUUAUAAUGUGUAUGUGUGAGAAUAUGUGUAUCUUUUGGUUCUAACCUAUUAUUGAAAACUGCUUCAAAUCCUUACUGGAAGGAGUCUGGGUUUUUGUUUUUUUAAUGUUGACAAUACUCUCUCAUUAAUUUUAAUAAUUAUCUAUCUCAAAACCUAGAUUAUAAGGACCUAGAAGGAUCCUGCUUGCUUCUAACAAUCCCCCAAAAGAUUUAACACUAGGCACAUGGUAGGCAUCCAGCUGAUACUGGCUGAUACAUAUUUUCAAAAGAGAUUUUAAUAAAAAAAGAAGGCGGCUGGAAGGAAAUAAAACAAUGACAGUAACAUGCGUUACGAUGUUGAGGUUAUAGGUUUCCUUUUCUCUGUUUUUCAAAUUUUCUGCAAUGUGCUUACAACUGUUUUUAUAACCACAACUCUUUUGAUGACGUCUUUUAAAAAUGAAAAAAACAAGUGACUAUACUGGAGUUGAGGUUCACCAGCACGCAUCUUGGGAGACAUGAGCCCUAAACUGUGUCUUCAAGCAAAGGAAUUAAUUUAACACACAGAACUGGCAGAGAGGAGAAGGGAAAUGUGUGCGAGAGAGGAGAAGGGAAAUGUGUGCGAGAAAGCCCUGCAGUGGGACUGAGCAAAGUGCUCAUUCGAAAACAGCCUGCCUUGGAGAAGAAACCAGAGAGAAGGUUUCAAAGGUGGGAAGCAGGUGUUUGAGGGUGGUGGGAAUGUUAGGCUAAGGGCUACAUUUGUUUUUUCAGACAGGGUCUCACUCUGUUCAUCCAGGCUGGAGUGCCAUAGUGCAAACAUAGCUCACUGUAACUGUGAGCUCCUAGGCUCAAGCGAUCCUCCUGCCUCAGCCUCCCAGCUAGGACUACAGGUGCACACCACCAUGCCUGGCUAAUUUUUAAAAAUUUUUUGUAGAGACAGGAUCUUGCUAUGUUGACUAGGCUGGUGUCAAACUCCUGGCCUCAAGCAAUCCUCCUGCCUCCGCUUCCCAAAGUGCUGUGAUUACACACGCUGCACCUGGCCAAGGCUACCUUUUUAAUGUAGAAAACUAAGAAGCCUCUUCAGGUUUCUGAAUAAAGAACGAGAAGACAAUGAUGAUGAAAACUGGAAACAAGCAGGUGGCCAUUACCGCAAUUAAGGCUAAAAUCUAGGUUAAGAAAGGGGAGAGAGAACUGCAAAUGAAAAGGGCAAAGAUGCAGUGAGGAUGAGAAGUUACAAAAGCUAAAAAGAAGGAAGUAAUACUAAGAGGGGUUACAGAGUCCAGCUCAAAGGACAGAAAAAAGGAGGAACUUCAGAUAACAAUUUUUAAAAUAUUUAUUAACAGCAAAUUAUGAGUCGGG